This 542-nucleotide ribosomal RNA is filed under the name uncultured bacterium. RNAcentral describes it as "bacterial LSU rRNA". It matches the Rfam family "Bacterial large subunit ribosomal RNA", at positions 452 to 987 of the family's 2925-position model. The record is from RNAcentral.
ACCACGGCAUAAGGCUAAAUAACUCGAUGAAGACCGACAGUGAACUAGUACCGCGAGGGAAAAGGUGAAAAAGCACCCCUGUUAGGGGAGUGAAACAGUAACUGAAAUCAAUUGCUAACAAGUCAGUGGAAGCCGGCCAGUCCGGUGACCGCCUGCCUUUUGUAUAAUGAGUCUGCGAGUUAUUGCCCGUAGCAAGCUUAAGCCGGUUACCGGUGUAAGCGUAGCGAAAGCAAGUCCAAAUAGGGCGAAUAGUUGCUGGCAAUAGACCCGAAGCGGAGGUGAUCUAACCAUGGCCAGGAUGAAACCCGGGUAAAACCGGGUGGAGGUCCGAACUGGUCAACCUUGAGAAGUUGUCGGAUGAGCUGUGGUUAGGAGCGAAAGACUAAUCAAACCCCUGUGAUAGCUGGUUCUUUCCGAAAUAUAUUUGGGUAUAGCGUCGAGCGCUAAUCUACGGAGGUAGAGCACUAAAUAAGCUAGGGCCCCUACCGGGGUACUGAACUUAAUUAAACUCCGAAUACCGUAGAGUGUAGCUCGGCAGUCAG